RNAcentral lists this ribosomal RNA (525 nucleotides) under uncultured bacterium. RNAcentral describes it as "bacterial SSU rRNA". It matches the Rfam family "Bacterial small subunit ribosomal RNA", at positions 8 to 518 of the family's 1533-position model. The record is from RNAcentral.
AGAGUUUGAUCAUGGCUCAGAUUGAACGCUGGCGGCGUGCUUAACACAUGCAAGUCGCGCGUGAAAGGACUUCGGUCCGAGUAAAGCGGCGCACGGGUGAGUAACGCGUGGAUGAUCUACCCAUGAGUUAGGAAUAACGGCUGGAAACGGUCGCUAAUACCAAAUACGCUCCGAUUUCAACUUCGGGGGAAAGGUGGCCUCUGCUUGCAAGCUACUGCUCAUGGAUGAGUCCGCGUCCCAUUAGCUAGUUGGUGGGGUAACGGCCCACCAAGGCGACGAUGGGUAGCCGGUCUGAGAGGAUGACCGGCCACACUGGGACUGGAACACGGCCCAGACUCCUACGGGAGGCAGCAGUGGGGAAUAUUGCGCAAUGGGCGAAAGCCUGACGCAGCGACGCCGCGUGAGGGAUGAAGGUCCUCGGAUCGUAAACCUCUGUCAGGAGGGAAGAACCGCCACGGUGCUAAUCAGCCGUGGUCUGACGGUACCUCCAAAGGAAGCACCGGCUAACUCCGUGCCAGCCGCCGC